GUGCUCAUUUCGGCAGCACAUAUACUAAAAAUUGGAAGGAUACAGAGAAGAUUAACAUGGCCCCUGGGCAAGGAUGACACGCAAAUUCAUGAAGCAUUCCAUAUUUUU
RNAcentral lists this small nuclear RNA (108 nucleotides) under Sciurus vulgaris (Eurasian red squirrel). Lineage: Eukaryota; Metazoa; Chordata; Mammalia; Rodentia; Sciuridae. The record is from RNAcentral.